This 1221-nucleotide ribosomal RNA is filed under the name Biwia zezera. RNAcentral describes it as "partial 16S ribosomal RNA". It matches the Rfam family "Bacterial large subunit ribosomal RNA", at positions 700 to 2561 of the family's 2925-position model. Lineage: Eukaryota; Metazoa; Chordata; Actinopteri; Cypriniformes; Gobionidae. The record is from RNAcentral.
CUUUAGUUUGAAACCCCGAAACCAGGUGAGCUACCCCGAGACAGCCUAUACAAAUUAGGGCUAACCCGUCUCUGUGGCAAAAGAGUGGGAAGAGCUCCGGGUAGAAGUGACAGACCUACCGAACCUGGUGAUAGCUGGUUGCCUGAGAAAUGGAUAGAAGUUCAGCCCCGCACACCCCAGACCAAAACCCUACACUUAAGGUAAUUUAAGAGUAAUAUGCGGGAGUUAGUUAAAGGGGGUACAGCCCCUCUAACAAAGGAUACAACCUUACCAGGAGGAUAAAGAUCAUAAUAUUUAAAACAAACUGUUUUAGUGGGCCUAAAAGCAGCCAUCUAAAUAGAAAGCGUUAAAGCUCAAACAGAAUAAAGUUUAUUAUAACGAUAAAAAAUCUUAUUCCCCUAAAAAUAUCAGGCUAUUCCAUGCUUGCAUGGAAGAAAUUAUGCUAAAAUGAGUAACAAGAAGACCUGCUCUUCUCCAAGCACAAGUGUAACCCAGAUCGGACAAGCCACUGGGAAAUAACGAACUCAACUCAAGAGAGUACUGUGAACAACAUAAAAACCAAGAAAAACUCACAACAAUAUAAUCGUUAACCCCACACUGGAGUGCUAUUUAUAAAGGAAAGACUAAAAGAAAGGGAAGGAACUCGGCAAACGCAAGCCUCGCCUGUUUACCAAAAACAUCGCCUCCUGCAACUGGAUUAAGUAUAGGAGGUCCAGCCUGCCCAGUGACUACGGGUUCAACGGCCGCGGUAUUUUGACCGUGCAAAGGUAGCGCAAUCACUUGUCUUUUAAAUAGAGACCUGUAUGAAUGGCUAAACGAGGGCUUAACUGUCUCCCCCUUCCAGUCAGUGAAAUUGAUCUAUCCGUGCAGAAGCGGGUAUAAUACUACAAGACGAGAAGACCCUUUGGAGCUUAAGGUACAAAAUUUAACCACGUUAAACAACUCAACAAAAAGCAAGAACUUAGUGGGCUAUAAAAUUUUACCUUCGGUUGGGGCGACCGCGGAGGAAAAACUAGCCUCCGAGUGGACUGGGCUUUACCCCUAAAACCAAGAGAAACAUCUCUAAGCCGCAGAACAUCUGACCAAUAAUGAUCCGGCCUUAUGGCCGACCAACGGACCAAGUUACCCUAGGGAUAACAGCGCAAUCCUCUCCCAGAGUCCAUAUCGACGAGGGGGUUUACGACCUCGAUGUUGGAUCAGGACAUCCUAAUGGUGCAGCCG